This 673-nucleotide ribosomal RNA is filed under the name Acinetobacter lwoffii. RNAcentral's name for it is "bacterial SSU rRNA". It matches the Rfam family "Bacterial small subunit ribosomal RNA", at positions 663 to 1335 of the family's 1533-position model. Lineage: Bacteria; Pseudomonadati; Pseudomonadota; Gammaproteobacteria; Moraxellales; Moraxellaceae. The record is from RNAcentral.
AGAAUUCCAGGUGUAGCGGUGAAAUGCGUAGAGAUCUGGAGGAAUACCGAUGGCGAAGGCAGCCAUCUGGCNUAAUACUGACACUGAGGUGCGAAAGCAUGGGGAGCAAACAGGAUUAGAUACCCUGGUAGUCCAUGCCGUAAACGAUGUCUACUAGCCGUUGGGGCCUUUGAGGCUUUAGUGGCGCAGCUAACGCGAUAAGUAGACCGCCUGGGGAGUACGGUCGCAAGACUAAAACUCAAAUGAAUUGACGGGGGCCCGCACAAGCGGUGGAGCAUGUGGUUUAAUUUGAUGCAACGCGAAGAACCUUACCUGGUCUUGACAUAGUAAGAACUUUCCAGAGAUGGAUUGGUGCCUUCGGGAACUUACAUACAGGUGCUGCAUGGCUGUCGUCAGCUCGUGUCGUGAGAUGUUGGGUUAAGUCCCGCAACGAGCGCAACCCUUUUCCUUAUUUGCCAGCGGGUUAAGCCGGGAACUUUAAGGAUACUGCCAGUGACAAACUGGAGGAAGGCGGGGACGACGUCAAGUCAUCAUGGCCCUUACGACCAGGGCUACACACGUGCUACAAUGGUCGGUACAAAGGGUUGCUACCACGCGAGUGGAUGCUAAUCUCAAAAAGCCGAUCGUAGUCCGGAUUGGAGUCUGCAACUCGACUCCAUGAAGUCGGAAUCGC